This 484-nucleotide ribosomal RNA is filed under the name uncultured bacterium. RNAcentral describes it as "partial 16S ribosomal RNA". It matches the Rfam family "Bacterial small subunit ribosomal RNA", at positions 29 to 507 of the family's 1533-position model. The record is from RNAcentral.
AUUGAACGCUGGCGGCAUGCUUUACACAUGCAAGUCGAACGGCAGCGCGGGCUUCGGCCUGGCGGCGAGUGGCGAACGGGUGAGUAAUGCAUCGGAACGUGCCCAGUAGUGGGGGAUAGCCCGGCGAAAGCCGGAUUAAUACCGCAUACGACCUGAGGGUGAAAGCGGGGGACCGAAAGGCCUCGCGCUAUUGGAGCGGCCGAUGUCGGAUUAGCUAGUUGGUGGGGUAAAGGCUUACCAAGGCGACGAUUCGUAGCUGGUCUGAGAGGACGACCAGCCACACUGGGACUGAGACACGGCCCAGACUCCUACGAGAGGCAGCAGUGGGGAAUUUUGGACAAUGGGGGCAACCCUGAUCCAGCCAUGCCGCGUGCGGGAAGAAGGCCUUCGGGUUGUAAACCGCUUUUGUUCGGGAAGAAAUCCUCUGGGCUAAUACCCCGGGGGGAUGACGGUACCGGAAGAAUAAGCACCGGCUAACUACGUG